CUCUUCGGGGAUGAUUAAACCGGCGCACGGGUGAGUAACACGUGAGUGGCCUGCCUUUUAGACUGGAACAACUUACCGAAAGGUGAGCUAAUGCCGGAUGAGUUAUAUAAGUGCAUGUUUAUAUAGGAAAAGUUGGGGAGACCUGACGCUGAAAGAUGGACUCGCGUCCCAUUAGCUAGUUGGUAGGGUAAUGGCCUACCAAGGCGACGAUGGGUAGCCGGCCUGAGAGGGUGGCCGGCCACACUGGGACUGAGACACGGCCCAGACUCCUACGGGAGGCAGCAGUGGGGAAUUUUGCGCAAUGCUCGUAAGAGUGACGCAGCGACGCCGCGUGAAUGACGAAGGCCUUCGGGUCGUAAAGUUCUUUCGACAGGGAAGAAAAUGCCUAUAAGUAACUGUGUAUGUAUUGACGGUACCUGUAUAAGCAGCCCCGGCUAACUCCGUGCCAGCAGCCGCGGUAAUACGGAGGGGGCGAGCGUUGUUCGGAGUGACUGGGCGUAAAGAGCACGUAGGCGGUGUUGUAAGUCAUUAGUCAAAGACUAGAGCUCAACUUUAGUAAGGCUAGUGAUACUAUAAUACUAGAGUAUCAGAGAGGAUUGCAGAAUUCCUGGUGUAGCGGUGAAAUGCGUAGAUAUCAGGAGGAAUACCGUUAGCGAAGGCGGCAAUCUGGCUGGAAACUGACGCUGAGGUGCGAAAGCGUGGGUAGCAAACAGGAUUAGAUACCCUGGUAGUCCACGCUGUAAACGAUGGAUGCUAGGUGUUGGGCU
RNAcentral lists this ribosomal RNA (767 nucleotides) under uncultured bacterium. Its description in RNAcentral is "bacterial SSU rRNA". It matches the Rfam family "Bacterial small subunit ribosomal RNA", at positions 76 to 829 of the family's 1533-position model. The record is from RNAcentral.